This 433-nucleotide ribosomal RNA is filed under the name uncultured bacterium. RNAcentral describes it as "partial 16S ribosomal RNA". It matches the Rfam family "Bacterial small subunit ribosomal RNA", at positions 29 to 507 of the family's 1533-position model. The record is from RNAcentral.
AACGAACGCUGGCGGCAUGCCUAACACAUGCAAGUCGAACGAGACCUUCGGGUCUAGUGGCGCACGGGUGCGUAACACGUGGGAAUCUGCCCUUUGCUUCGGAAUAACAGUUAGAAAUGACUGCUAAUACCGGAUGAUGUCGAAAGACCAAAGAUUUAUCGGCAAAGGAUGAGCCCGCGUAGGAUUAGGUAGUUGGUGGGGUAAAGGCCUACCAAGCCGACGAUCCUUAGCUGGUCUGAGAGGAUGAUCAGCCACACUGGGACUGAGACACGGCCCAGACUCCUACGGGAGGAAGCAGUGGGGAAUAUUGGACAAUGGGCGAAAGCCUGAUCCAGCAAUGCCGCGUGAGUGAUGAAGGCCUUAGGGUUGUAAAGCUCUUUUACCAGGGAUGAUAAUGACAGUACCUGGAGAAUAAGCUCCGGCUAACUCCGUG